Cornus florida is the source of this 1350-nucleotide long non-coding RNA. RefSeq lists it as uncharacterized. Lineage: Eukaryota; Viridiplantae; Streptophyta; Magnoliopsida; Cornales; Cornaceae. The record is from RefSeq and is a predicted model, not a curated record. The transcript has 5 exons.
ACGCAUGCCAAACGGGCCCUAAGCCAAUAAUACAAACGAGUGUUUGUUUUCCUUCUGUAAACCCUAAAUAGACUUGCUUCAAAUUCCCAAAAAAACAAAACAAUUCAGCCAUUUUUGGCAGAGCCCUCAUCUACACCAUCACGGGAAAAAAAAAAAAAAAAAAAAGUCGAAACUGCCAUCUGAAGAAUAGAAAAAUGAGUUUACGCUUCAGAGAUACAACCCGGGAUAAACAAAAGGAGGAUGAGCCACGGUGGUCUCCUAUUAAGAAGCAGUGAAUCCGUGUCUGGUGAAAGAGAAGAGAAGGAGUCUCUGACCUAAAGUCACUAAGAUCGUAAAGAUUGAUUUACAGAGAAAUGGCCCGUAUCGGCGACCAAUUCCUUACCUUCCUUUGCGCCUAUCACGCUGAAGGAUGUUUGUCUACGGAUUUGAAAAAUUGAGGAUCACGGUCAUCGCCUCUUUCUCGGCUUCCACUAGAAGAUGUCGCACAUUUGUGAAUCCCUAUGUGACCUUCACAGAUGGUGGAAGAAUGUGGCGUUGCAACAUUUGUGCUUUGCUUAAUGACGGUACAUGGAUGCUAUGGACUUUGGUGUUUUGAGUGACAUGCCUGAUAUUAGAAAGAAAGCUUGUCGUAAAUUGUUUAAGUAACAAGAGCUUCAUCGGGGCAAACUUUUAUCCAGUUACGAGGAUAUGGUACAUUGACUUAAUGGCUAUUAGUUUCAUUAGAAACAUGUCUCAUCUUAGAUCACAAGAUUGAAUGCAGUUAAAUAAACAGCCUUCUAAUUGAGUGAGUACGCAUUUGUUUUUAAGUUGGAAACUUAAAAUUGCAGCAUUGAAGGAACAUCAUUUUUUCAAAAUUGUUUCAUUGUCCCCAAAUUAUGAAGUGUACCAAUAACAGAACUCUGAAGAUAUAUGUCCAUGUUAAACCACAUGAAUUAACUGCUGUGGACCGUCAAAGAUUUUCACUUUGAACCAUUGUAUUACUAGUGCAGGAUUUGGAGGAAAUUAGUUUAUAUCCAUGAGGAUGGCUGACCUUUCAUCUUAGAUCACCAAUCACAUCAAGAAUAUAAUAAUGUGAUUGAAAGAUCGAUUCUUACCGUCAAGAUAUUGUACGGACAAGAGGGAGCUAAUAUAUAUUCAAAAUUGAUGGUUAUGUUCUUAUUUUGCAAAAGAUGAUUGUUUCUUUUCGAAUUUUGUGGUUUAGUUUUUAUUCCUUGUUGACGUCAUCAUAGUGUCUUAAUAUAUAUAUAAAUAUUUUUUUUUGACACGAUACUAGACUUGAUAUUUUUGGUUUAACGAAAAGUAAUGGAUUUUUGUUAUUUUUACUAAUACAUGUUAUGUUGCAAGUGGCUA